GGAGAGAUGGCUGAGUUGGUCGAAGGCGCACGAUUGGAAAUCGUGUAGGCGUUAAUAGCGUCUCGAGGGUUCGAAUCCUCUCUCUCCGCCA
RNAcentral lists this transfer RNA (91 nucleotides) under Flavonifractor plautii. RNAcentral's name for it is "tRNA-Ser". It matches the Rfam family "tRNA". Rfam says of the family: Transfer RNA (tRNA) molecules are approximately 80 nucleotides in length. Lineage: Bacteria; Bacillati; Bacillota; Clostridia; Eubacteriales; Oscillospiraceae. The record is from RNAcentral.